Molecule: ribosomal RNA, 253 nt
Filed under: uncultured bacterium
Lineage: Bacteria
Description: partial 16S ribosomal RNA
Rfam family: Bacterial small subunit ribosomal RNA
Source: RNAcentral
UACAGAGGGUGCAAGCGUUAAUCGGAAUUACUGGGCGUAAAGCGUGCGCAGGCGGCUAUGCAAGACAGAUGUGAAAUCCCCGGGCUCAACCUGGGAACUGCAUUUGUGACUGCAUAGCUAGAGUACGGUAGAGGGGGAUGGAAUUCCGCGUGUAGCAGUGAAAUGCGUAGAUAUGCGGAGGAACACCGAUGGCGAAGGCAAUCCCCUGGACCUGUACUGACGCUCAUGCACGAAGGCGUGGGGAGCAAACAGG